RNAcentral lists this non-coding RNA (779 nucleotides) under Opisthorchis felineus. The record is from RNAcentral. Lineage: Eukaryota; Metazoa; Platyhelminthes; Trematoda; Opisthorchiida; Opisthorchiidae.
AAGUAAUUUAGUUUUGGUUAUAGAAGGGUUUAUGGAGGGUGCCACAUAGUGAGUUUAUAUGUUGUUUUCUUCUUGAUUGUUAAUGUCUUGGGUUAGACUAGUGGUUGGAUUUCACUUGGUGGAUGGGAGUCCGAGUGAGCUCUUGCAUAAGGCGGGUGGUUAAUUCACAGUGCCAGCAGCUGCGGUUAUUCUGUUAACCUUUCCUUCUUAUCGGUUUAAAUGGUUUGUGAGUAAUUUUGAAUUUGGUGGGGUAGAAUCUUUGCUUUCUUUUUUUAUUCUCUCACAGAUUCUUUUGAGGGCUAUUAAAAGAAGAGGAUUAGAGACCCUAGUAUUGAGUCGAGAUUACUUUGUGACUUCAUAGUUUAAACUAAAAAAAUUUGGCAGCCGAUGAUUCUCUUCCGGGGGAGCGUGUGGCGUAAGAGAUGAUCCACUUAUAUCUUUACCACCCCUAGUUAUGGGUUAGUGUACGUCCGGUUUAAUACCUUUGAUUAGUGUCUUUAGGUGUAUUUCUAUUGAUUUAGGCCAGGUCAAUGUGCUGCUAAUGGGGUGGUGUCUAUUCGCUACUUUGAUAAAAAAUAUUGAGGUGAAGAUCUCAUAUGGAUUGAGGACUCGGGAGUAGGUGCAGUUAGGGGGAGUGAUGCAUCGAAUAUUUGAUUUAGUCGGGGUACACACCGCCCGUCAACCAGGAUGAUUAAUUUUGGUAAGUCGUAACAUGGUAACGUUGGGGGAACCGGGCGUUAGUUGACGGAGGGGUUUAUUUUCUCUGUUAUGGAGGUUCG